UACGUAGGGGGGCAAGCGUUGUCCGGAAUCAUUGGGCGUAAAGCGCGUGUAGGCGGCUCGGUAAGUCUGCUCUGAAAGUCCAGGGCUCAACCCUGGGAUGCGGGUGGAUACUGCCGGGCUCGAGUCCGGAAGAGGCGAGUGGAAUUCCCGGUGUAGCGGUGAAAUGCGCAGAUAUCGGGAGGAACACCAAUGGCGAAGGCAGCUCGCUGGGACGUGACUGACGCUGAGACGCGAAAGCGUGGGGAGCAAACAGG
This 254-nucleotide ribosomal RNA is filed under the name uncultured bacterium. RNAcentral describes it as "partial 16S ribosomal RNA". It matches the Rfam family "Bacterial small subunit ribosomal RNA", at positions 524 to 776 of the family's 1533-position model. The record is from RNAcentral.